RNAcentral lists this non-coding RNA (92 nucleotides) under Microvirga sp. Its description in RNAcentral is "Glycine sequence". It matches the Rfam family "Glycine riboswitch aptamer". Rfam says of the family: This family represents the bacterial glycine riboswitch. Glycine riboswitches usually consist of two metabolite-binding aptamers domains with similar structures in tandem. The record is from RNAcentral. Lineage: Bacteria; Pseudomonadati; Pseudomonadota; Alphaproteobacteria; Hyphomicrobiales; Methylobacteriaceae.
AUGAUCCCCGCGGAAGAGACCGGACCUUUGCGUCCGGCGCCGAAGGCGCAACCGCCCCGGAAACGCUCAGGCCAAAGGACCGCGCGGGAGCU